Molecule: ribosomal RNA, 342 nt
Filed under: Triticum aestivum (bread wheat)
Lineage: Eukaryota; Viridiplantae; Streptophyta; Magnoliopsida; Poales; Poaceae
Description: partial small subunit ribosomal RNA
Source: RNAcentral
AUGCUUAGGAGGAUGUUCCAAGGUGGUCCUUCAAGGAAGCAAGGUCCCAGGCUUGCAACACGUGAUGCUGACGAGGAACCACCAAGAGACGCUCCUGUGAGGCCCUGUGAAUGGCCGUCGGAAAUUUUUAUGAAUCAAGUGGGGAUCAAAGAAGAAUUCAGCACAUAUUUGAGUAACGCCGGUCUUGAGGACUUUGAAGCUGACAAAUGCCCCCAGUAUCAUGAUCUCACAAGUUCAUUUGUGAGGAGGCGAGAGGAAGAUAUAUUAUUACCAGAGAGGAGGAAGAUGAGUACAAAAGGAGAGUGGAGGCUGCUCGACUCCAUGCUACAGCUCAGGCGGUGA